This is a long non-coding RNA of Oryzias latipes (Japanese medaka), 4006 nucleotides long. RefSeq lists it as uncharacterized. The record is from RefSeq and is a predicted model, not a curated record. Lineage: Eukaryota; Metazoa; Chordata; Actinopteri; Beloniformes; Adrianichthyidae.
GCUGCUUCACCUCUCUGAAAACAAUCUAACCUUCAACUAAACCUGCUCCAGAACAGGUUAUGUUCAGAGAAGGAGUUACUAUGGCAGCUUGACAAAUCUCCAUUUUUGGAACCGAAAGCUGAGGUUAUCCGCUUCCUUAGCCUCAAACCUACCGUGGUAACCAGCAUAACCUGGUUUCUGGAAUACCCCCCAGGAUAAAGAGGUGUCCCCAGGUCAGCAAUGAGAAACACUCAUAAACAUAACUGGUGUCUGCCGUAGUGCUGUCAGUGAAGAACACCAGCCUAAUCUUCCCUUCAUGGCCACAAGUUAAAAUGGAUGCGCAAAAUGGUUGAAAAAAAAAAAGGGAGGUUCACUUUCCAGCUCACUUUUGACUACAAUAUACCAGUAAAGUCACCAAUACUGCAGAAGCCAACAUAAUUAUUCUGGUAAUCAGAACUAUAAUACAAACAUUGACCUUAACAGUUGCUUGAUUCUGCAAACAAAACCUUUGCUUGUACCUUUGCUUGACUUGAUUGGGAAAUUAACGAAGCUAUUGUUUGUUCCAGGACUGUCUCAUAAUGAUAGUAAUAAAUAAAACUUUAUUUGUAUAGCACCUGUCAAGGUUAAAAUCCCAAAGUGCUUCACAGUAAAAUAUGGUAAAACACAAUAAAACACAGUAAAAACAGUAAAACACAGAAUACGAAAGUACAUAAAUAUCUCAGUAUUAUUUGACUUGGUGGAAAACAUGGUCUCAGUCAUCCUGUUUUUAAUCUUGAAGCUUCUAUGGCUUUUUCUUAUAUCUGGUUGGACCUCUGGUAAAUAUACACAUCCAGUCAUGACAGUAUCCAUGAGGUUUAUAUUCACGUUCCUGCCUGGCUGACAUUAUUCCCACUACUUCCAGUAAAGUCACAUGCUUUGCAUGAAAUCUGUUUCGGAAACAUGAUGACUGUUGUUGUGAUGAAAUUAGAUUUCUCCUUCACUGUCACACCUUAAACUCCAGUGACACAUGAGAGAAUCUCAUAUGAUCUUUCAACUGAACUUCCACUGAAAAACUUCCUGUUUUUUUUCUUACGCCUGCCAUGACUCAUGCUGCAUGCUGCCUCAGUGGAGGAGGUAGGGGGUGGAGACCAUGAUACAACAGAUCAUGUGCUAUGGAGGAUCUAGACUUCUUUUGUUUUAAUUACAGUGUUGGAAAAGAAACAAAUGUGUCUCAAUUUAGAAUAAUACUCACUUUUUUAUAUAUAUAAAUGUUACUUGCCAUUCCUGUUGACCGAAAACAAGAAAAAGUGAGACAUUCUGUGACCGACACUCACAAAGAGAUGUAAAGAUUACACCAUUCAGUCAGUUUGGAGGAUUCUGAGCAGAUGACCUGCAUUUUUUCUAAAUUGUUGGUUUCUGUUUACAAACCUUUGAUCGUUGCUCCCACCUUUUCUAUUUAUUCUGGUGUAGAUCAGCAGCUGUCAUUCAGGUUGUCUCCCUGCUUUUGCUGUAAAGGUAAUAAUGGAUCACCCACGUGUCUGACAGUUGAUGGGAGAUUGUAAUGUAAGACAAACUUCUUUUCUUAGGGGCUUUCUCACACUGGCUAAUGUUGUUUGGUCCAUACUUGUAUGUGACUAUUUACUUAGUCAAACGUCUCCCUGCCAAGCCCUUACACUGUUCAAUAAAAUAUAGGUCCGACCCUGCACUGUUACAAACACUAAACACAGGAAGUGGUUACAAUCUUUAAUGAAUAUGUAUUAUAGAAAGACACAAUAACAGAGGUUUUUAUUUGUAACACGGAGCCAACAAAUCAUUUUAUUAUAGGACAUCUACGUUCAUCUGUCCUCUUCCUCGCAUGUGGGACCGGGUCGUGGGGCAGCAGUCUAGGCAAAGAUAUCCAGUCUUCCCUCUCCGCAGCCCGAGGCGUUCCCAGGGUGGUCAAAAGACGUAGUCCUGGGUCUUCCCUGAGGCUUACACCCAUUAGGACAAGUCUAGAACACCUCCCAGUGAAGGCGUUCAGGAGGCUUUCGGACCAGAUGACCAAACCACCUCAACUGGCUCCUGUCGAUGUGGAGGAGCAGUGUGUCUACUCAGAGCUUCUCACCUUAUCUCCAAGGGAACGCCAAGCCACCCUACAGAGGAAGCUCAUUUCGGCCGCUUGUACACAUCUGCAUUGUUUUUUCUAUAGUUUCAAUCUUGAAGGCAAUAAGGCAAUAAACUGUUCUCCGUUGAUUCAAGGUACUUUACUUACUACACAAACUGUUUGGUGCUCUUCAGGAAAACAUUUAACAAUGAUAUUCUUUAACAAAAAUAUUCAUGAGUGAAGAUGUCCCCAUGGCUGCCCUCUUGGUUGUACAAUCAGUAACAAAAAAAAUCUCAGCAACUCAGAAAAUAAAGUGCAAUUUGUGCAACUAUGCUUUUCAUAAAAACAGGACUUUCCACUAUUAUUCUGAUAAAGUAUUAACUUUUAAUUAUGUGGAAAUGUUUUAUUUCUGGAUUUAUAUCUGUUAAUAUAAUUUUAUCCACAACUUCUUGGAACCAACAGAGGGGGAGCGUUCUUGUUUUUGUCAUUUUGUGUGGUCAGUCACGGUGUAAGUUUCCCUUUAAUUCAGGUUUUUUCUUUCUGAAAGCUGUUGCAGUUCAUCAUUUGACCACAGAGUCCCACAAACAAUUCUGAAAACUUUAAAAAUGAAAUAAAUAAAAGGCCUCUCUGCUUCUGCUGUGAUGGACGCUGCAAGAUCUCUGGGGUCUUCCAGCUAACUCUACUUGUGCCGUCAUGUUGUAGGAGAGCUCUAGGGUGACUGAGUCUCAGGAAUUUCUCAACAAACCCCCCCUCCUGCCCCUUUAUCCCUGACAGGGCAACGUCUGGCUGAGGACAGCCACCCCAUUGUUAUGUGCCAGUUGGUCGAGGUGUGGCUCUUCUGCUGAAUUACACUCAUGGACAUCAGUAAAUGACAAGAUUAUAUCAACCAUGAAUGAAACAGAGGAGGAGACAUCGUCUUUGGGUGAAUGUGUGUAAAUGCGGUUCCAGUUUGAAAAUGAAAUAAAACUGAAACUGCAUUUGUCUAUCAAGAUUACGAUGCACCUGGUUUUUCCCCAAUUCCCCAUCAACACCUGGGGCCACAGAACAAACAGAGCAGCAGAGUUCAGCUAUACAGAUAGAAAGACCAAAACCAGUUUUUCAGGAAGCAGUGGUUCAUCAGAUGUGGCUAAAAAAACCUCAGUCUCAGCUCACACGGAGCUCACAGCACAACACUCGUCGAGUAUCACAACUACGUGGACACAAAUUAGCACAUAUCAAAGAAUUUCAGUUUUUGGUGCUUGAACAAGACACUCGAACAAACUGUGUGGCUGUGUACAGAAGGAAGCUGAUAAGCUGACGGCAAACACAACAAGUCAGUUCCAGGAAGAACCAUUCACACAGGGAGGGGGGGAGGGGAAGGCCGCUCGUUCUGUUUCAAUGGUUAAGACUUUGCUUUCAGUUUUGUGUUUUUAUAGAGACGUUAUGGAGAUUAUGGAGGUCAGGAGGAACGAGUGGAAGCAGGAAGAAAAGGAAGGAGUUGAAUUGUUGGAUCAGAGACAUCGCAAUAGCCUAAAGGAUGGUUUAUCUUUUGAGAUAUUUUAAAAACCUUCCCAGUGUUUAUUUAAGUAUCAUUAUGCAGUUUUUAGCCAAAAUAACAAAACAUUGUUUUUUAGGACACAGUUUCUACGGAGCAGCAGUAGUUCAUUAAAAAUUUACCUCUCAGUUGCGGUGUGCAGCAAGCCCACCCCGACUUCCCGUCAUACACCUGCUUAGACACUAGCUUGCAUUACCUUAAACCCCCAAUCUAACAUCUUGGUGUUGUGGCAAGCAAUGUUGGAUCUAUCCUAGCGUACAUUUUGAAGACAGGAAAAACCAAGAGGUGUUUAAUCUAGUCUUCCUCUAUUGGAUGCAUCUGAAUGGAGCAGUACAGGGUGCUUGUGUGUAUUUCUGUCACAGAUAAAGGUACCUUUUUUCAUCUGAUUCUGAUUCACAACAAUUUGAAUAAAGAAAUACUCAGAAAAACAA